CCUACGGGGGGCAGCAGUGGGGAAUAUUGGACAAUGGGGGGAACCCUGAUCCAGCCAUGCCGCGUGUGUGAAGAAGGCCUUAUGGUUGUAAAGCACUUUAAGCGAGGAGGAGGCUACUGAGACUAAUACUCUUGGAUAGUGGACGUUACUCGCAGAAUAAGCACCGGCUAACUCUGUGCCAGCAGCCGCGGUAAUACAGAGGGUGCGAGCGUUAAUCGGAUUUACUGGGCGUAAAGCGUGCGUAGGCGGCUUUUUAAGUCGGAUGUGAAAUCCCCGAGCUUAACUUGGGAAUUGCAUUCGAUACUGGGAAGCUAGAGUAUGGGAGAGGAUGGUAGAAUUCCAGGUGUAGCGGUGAAAUGCGUAGAGAUCUGGAGGAAUACCGAUGGCGAAGGCAGCCAUCUGGCCUAAUACUGACGCUGAGGUACGAAAGCAUGGGGAGCAAACAGGAUUAGAUACCCGGGUAGUC
RNAcentral lists this ribosomal RNA (466 nucleotides) under uncultured bacterium. Its description in RNAcentral is "bacterial SSU rRNA". It matches the Rfam family "Bacterial small subunit ribosomal RNA", at positions 338 to 795 of the family's 1533-position model. The record is from RNAcentral.